UACGAAGGGGGCUAGCGUUGCUCGGAAUCACUGGGGCGUAAAGGGCGCGUAGGCGGCGUUUUAAGUCGGGGGUGAAAGCCUGUGGCUCAACCACAGAAUGGCCCUCGAUACUGGGACGCUUGAGUAUGGUAGAGGUUGGUGGAACUGCGAGUGUAGAGGUGAAAUUCGUAGAUAUUCGCAAGAACACCGGUGGCGAAGGCGGCCAACUGGACCAUUACUGACGCUGAGGCGCGAAAGCGUGGGGAGCAAACAGG
Molecule: ribosomal RNA, 254 nt
Filed under: uncultured bacterium
Lineage: Bacteria
Description: partial 16S ribosomal RNA
Rfam family: Bacterial small subunit ribosomal RNA
Source: RNAcentral